Molecule: non-coding RNA, 114 nt
Organism: Acanthosepion pharaonis
Lineage: Eukaryota; Metazoa; Mollusca; Cephalopoda; Sepiida; Sepiidae
Source: the annotation of a GenBank genome assembly
AUACGGCAAUAUCACGGUGAAACAUUGGUUCCCGUACGAUCACCGAAGUUAAGCAACGUCGAACCUGGUUAGUAUCUAGAUGGAUGACCGCUUAGGGAUACCUGGUGCUGUAGG